This 390-nucleotide unclassified non-coding RNA is filed under the name soil metagenome. RNAcentral describes it as "partial contains 5.8S ribosomal RNA, internal transcribed spacer 2, and large subunit ribosomal RNA". The stretch from base 1 to 122 matches the Rfam family "5.8S ribosomal RNA", at positions 35 to 154 of the family's 154-position model. The record is from RNAcentral.
GAUGAAGAACGCAGCGAAAUGCGAUACUUGGUGUGAAUUGCAGAAUCCCGUGAACCAUCGAGUCUUUGAACGCAAGUUGCGCCCGAAGCCAUUAGGCCGAGGGCACGCCUGCCUGGGUGUCACACGUCGUUGCCCCCCCAUCUACUCCUUCGGGAUUGCGGGGGGCGGAUGAUGGCCUCCCGUGCGCCUCGUCGCGCGGUUGGCAUAAAUGCCAAGUCCUCGGCGACGCACGCCACGACAAUCGGUGGUUGCGAAACCUCGGUUGCCCGUCGUGUGCGGUCGUCGCGCAUCGAGGGCUCGAAAAAAUUGCCGGGCUCCGGCUCGGCUUUCAACGCGACCCCAGGUCAGGCGGGGUUACCCGCUGAAUUUAAGCAUAUCAAUAAGCGAGGA